RNAcentral lists this long non-coding RNA (6486 nucleotides) under Mytilus galloprovincialis (Mediterranean mussel). The record is from RNAcentral. Lineage: Eukaryota; Metazoa; Mollusca; Bivalvia; Mytilida; Mytilidae.
AUGAGUGCCAAUAAGACAACUCUCCAUCCAAGUCACAAUUUAUAAAAGUAAACCGUUUAAGUCAAAUUACGGUCUUCAACAGAGCUAUGACUCAUACGGAAUAGCAAGCUAUAAAGGGUCCCAAAAUGAUGUCGCAAAAACAAUAUUAUACUCUGAAAAUUGAUGUGCCUUGAUCAUAUAUGGCAAUAAAUCAAGAACAUUUAACAAGCGAAAACAAAUAUUUAUUCAUAGCACACUGAGUAUUACAAAUCUUCUAUUGAUUUAUUUUCUUUGAAAUUUGUUAUAAUUUGCAUAUCUUAGUAUAAAGGCAACAGAACAAAAAAAUGUAAAUCUUUUUUAUGCAAUUUUUUGCAAAUAGAAAAAUAAUGAAAAAAAUAAUCAUUGCGAAUAUUUCAUAAAAACAUCAAGCUUGAAAAUUCCAUAAAUAAAUUAUGAUGUCAGCUAAAUAAGAUUAAAUGCAAAAAAUUACCAGCCAAACUAAUCUGGAUAUAUAUAUUACAGUAUUGGCAAAAAAUAUGAACUUCAUUCUGUUUACCCAAGCUCUAGCAAACCUUUUAUGUUUUAAAUAUAAUUAUAUAAUUUGGGUAAUAUAGUAAUGGUUUACUGAUAUUUCCCCUGCUGAAAAUCACCAGGCUCUGUUAAAUAUGUAUUUUGGCAUUUUUUGUAAUUAUAUAAUUUGAUUUUUAUAAAUAAUCAGCAUAUUAGCACCACUACAAUUAUACUACUUUCUUAAGCUGCUCCAAAUGAUAAGUUGCAAAUUCCCAAAGCCUAAUACUCUUUACACAGCUACAGGUAAUUCAUCUACGUAGAAUAUAUUGCACCCAAAUGACCUUAAAAGGUCAUAGUAAUAAUAUGUAAAGUUUAGAGGAGCUUCUUGUAAAUUAUUCUGAUAUCAAAAUCAAUUCUGCACUGAAAAAUAAACUAAUUAGAUCAUUUAAUAAUGAAAUCAAGAUUACAUCUGUGAACCUAUUAAUUUGUGCUUAAAUCAAAUCAUAAUUUGACUUUGUGUAUAAACAUUCUAAUAAGUCAGUAAUUUUCAUCAGAUUUUAGAAAUUGUAUCAAAUCAAUCUUAAUAUAAAUGGAAGAGGGCUGAACAGUUCAUUACUUACUUAUAAUACUCUUAAAACGCCCAAAAAUCAAAAAUGUAGAAUCUUACAUACAUCUUUCAAACAUAUAAAAAAUUAUUAUACAAAACUCGAAAAAAACUCAAAAUUGUCAUCUUGUAAAAACAACAAAGCCUGGCAAGAAUAAUAGUACAAAAUUUACAAAAAAACAAAAAUAUAUGAAAAAAAUACAGUGUGAUUUCAUUUAAUGGUAGUAAAUUUGGAUAUUGUUACAAAAUCAAAUUGAAAAAACAUUCCUAUUUUUAGAGGUGGUAAGGGACGAAAACUCUUGAAGUCCAGUAAAAUGUUUGUGCCAACUAAACAUCUCAUACUUCUAAGUUCUGUAAAUUCAGAAAUUGUUGUGAGGUUUUUAUUAUUGCAAAAAAUGCAACAGAGUUGUAAACCCAAUAAUUUAAACUCUCAUUUUGAAAUGUUUUAUAUGAAUUAAACAGUAUUUUUCUCAAAAUCGUAAAAAUUAAAAUCGCAUUUAAGUCUAAAAUGACAAAAUCACAAUAAAUCCACGCAAAAAUUUCUUAAUUUACAGUAACACUGAUUAUGUAUUGCACUUUUAAAGGAUAUUAAUUUUCCUUAACCCAGAUCAACUCUCUAAAGAUAUAUUUAAAUUUCAUUCUCAAUAAAUUCUUAAGAAGACAAUGAGUUCCUAGACAUGUUUCUCAUGUUAUAUGCCAUCAAAACUCCAAGUUGAAUAGUUGUACAUGUAUAAGAAUUAUCGGAAAAAUACAAAAAGAAAGUUACUUCAUAGUUGAAAACUUUACUAUUGAUUUGAGAUGUUAAGAAAACAAAGGCAUAUGCAUGUUAAUUGGCACACAAACCUAUAUUAUAACUUUAGAAAAGUUGUGUAUAAAUAGUGAUUUUUUAAACUCUUUUUAUUGUUAUAAAAAAACAACACUUAUAAUUGGGUGGCAAUUUUUAUUUAUUUUUCAACUUCUUCUGAGAAAGACUUUAGAAGUCGAAAUAUUGGUCUUUCAAUUCCAAUACUUAGCUUUUAUUGUUUUAUCUAUUUAAGUUUUUGUAUUUUAUCUUUUAUUUUUUCUUAAAAAAAGCUUCUCUUAUAACUUAAAAAUCUAACUAAAACUUAUCACUUGCAAGAAAAGGGUUAUUAAACACAAUAAUGGUUUAUGUUGUGAAACUAAUGAUCAAAACUCUGAAUCAUACAUGAAAAUAAUAUAAACUACUGCAGCAGGUAUAAAAUGAACAAUAAAUAAGUGAAACCUCUCUUACAUUCAUUAACAUAUAAUCAUUAUAAAUUGGGACAAAAAUACAUAGAAAAAACAAAAUAUCAUUUAUAUGGAUAAAUAACGUAUAUAAAACUUAACAAACUCUAACAAUUCAAUUAUGAAGCACACAUAAAACCAUUCAAAUACUGAUACACAUAUAUGUAUGAGGUUCUUUGUUUCUUUAUUUGUUUAUUUUGAAUGGCUGUUUUUUUCUCUAUUCUUUAUAUUUCAGCACCAAAUUUUUUUUUUGGGCUCAUUUUCCCCUUAUUUUAAUUUUUAGUUCCUAAUUCUCUAUUUUCAAAACCCUUUCCAGAUCCUAGUAUAGUGCUCCUAAAUUAAUACUGCUACUGAUAAAAGUAAAAAGGCAAUGAUCAUCAAAAUUUGUUCUGGUACUGAUGGAAUUUUCAGUUUGAUUUUAACAAGAGUGCACACACUGAAAUGUCUCGCCUUCUUUAGUAAUCAUUGAUAUUAUGUUGAUAGUCCUAAGUAUAAAGCUUUAUUACAACUGUCACAUAAACUUAACAUUAACCAAGAUAGCUAAACAAAGACCAAUGAACCAUGAAAAUGAGGUCAAGGUCAGAUGAACCAUGCCAGGCAGACAUGUACAGCUAACAAAGCUUCCAUACAACAAAUAUAGUUGACCUACUACUUAUAGUUUAAGAAAAAUAGACCAAAACACAGAAACUUAACACUGUGCAAUGAACCGUGCAAUUGAGGUCAUGGUCAAAUAAAACCUGCGGGACUGACAUAUAGAUCAUAAUAUAUUUCCAUACACCAAAUAUAGUUGACCUUUGGCAUAUAAUAUAAGAAAAAAAGACCAAAACUUAAAAACUUAACUUUGACCACUGAACCAUGAAAAUGAGGUCAAGGUCAGAUGACAUCUGCCCUCUAGACAUGUACACCUUACAAUCAUUCCAUACAACAAAUAUAGUAGACCUAUUGAAUAAAGUAUGAGAAAAACAGACCAAAACACAAAAACUUAACUAUAACCACUGAACCAUGAAAAUGAGGUCAAGGUCAGAUGAUACCUGCCAGUUGGACAUGUACACCUUCCAGUCCUUCCAUACACCAAAUAUACUAGCCCUAUUGCUUAUAGUAUCUGAGAUAUGGACUUGACCACCAAAACUUUACCUUGUUCACUGAUCCAUGAAAUGAGGUCGAGGUCAAGUGAAAACUGUCUGACGGGCAUGAGGACCUUGCAAGGUACGCACAUACCAAAUAUAGUUAUCCUAUUACUUAUAAUAAGAGAGAAUUCAACAUUAUAAAAAUUCUGAACUUUUUUUUCAAGUGGUCACUGAACCAUGAAAAUGAGGUCAAGGACAUUGGACAUGUGACUGACGGAAACUUCGUAACAUGAGGCAUCUAUAUACAAAGUAUGAAGCAUCCAGGUCUUUCACCUUCUAAAAUAUAAACCUUUUAAGAAGUUAGCUAACACCGCCGCCGCCGUAGCCGCCGUAGCCGCCGCCGCCGCCGGAUCACUAUCCCUAUGUCGAGCUUUCUGCAACAAAAGUUGCAGGCUCGACAAAAAUCAAGGGAAUAAAAAAGUUUUCUAUUCAUACAUUUUUCUUUAAUAAUACCAAGUACUACUGUGGAUUCAUUUACUUCCGUGGGUAUCAAUUUUCGUGGUUUGAGGAAAAACUUGCAUUUUCAUGGAUAUUUGAUUUCGUGGUUUUGCUAAAAUCUGCAUACAAGCUUAUAGAAAAUUUGAAAUUCGUUGAACAUUUGAAUUCGUGGUUCACCUGUAUCAAGGAAAUCCAUGAAAAUUGGUAUCCCAUGAAUAAAAGUGAAUCCACAGUAUGCCAAACAAUAGAAGUCUAAACAUAUAAUGGAAUAAAUACUUGUUGAAUGACCCUGAUAUAUUACCUCUAAGAUGGCAUGAUUAAAGAAUUUAUAUAUAAGCAGAAGCGCAGAAGCGGGUGAAGAGGGUGUAUGCUACUUUUUAAUGCAAAAAUAUCUCAAUUUCUAAAGAUUUAUGUGAAUUUUUUAGCUUAAAUCUUCUAAUUUUGUUUAUGGAAAAAUAUUAGUAAUAAGAACCCACUCCCCUUCUAUUUUCAAAAAUCCUUGAUCCCCACUGACAAGUUCUCUUUUGUUAUAAAAUGUAAGGCACUCAAAAUUUGAAAAGAAACUGAUUAGGAAAUAAAAACAGAAAUUUUUAUGACAUUAUAUUGUAUAUUUACAUUUGGCACAAGAAAGCAUUUUGCAAUUAUUGCUUGAAAUUAUUGAUUAGCAAUAUGAAGGAAAACAUUGAAUUCAAGUAAGGGCACAAAACAAUAACAUCAAAAUAUAUAUAAAAUUUACAAGGAACUUGUUUCAGAUAUCUAUAGAUUUUAAUUAUGUAGUAAAACAUUUUAACCACUUUUAGGCUUUUUAAAAUAGUAUAAUAUGAAAUAUCAGAUAGCAGUAAAAGUUUCUAUUACAAAAAAUAAGACUUGACAUUUCAAUAGCUUUUAAAGAACCAAUAUUGGACUUAUUUUGUCAGGUUAGAACAUAUUUUCUAAACCAUAUUAUACUUUUAUAGUAUACACUAACGUGUAUACACUUAUUUACUGGCUAUGAUUACAAGUUUAUUUUCCCAAUAGACAAUAACUAUCUCCCAAAGCAAUGUACAGGUAAAUAGUUACAGCAGAUUUCAGUCAGUAUGUAGCUAAUGGUAAUAUUUUUGGUUAGCUUGCUUGUUAGCUGAACCGUGAAGUCAUUGUUAGGUAAGGUAUACUACCCUCCUUUUAAAGUAGCUUAGUCCUACAGAGAGAUAGAUUUUUUAUCUGUUGGGCUAGUCUACUAUUAAAGGAGGGAAGUUUACCUUACAUAACAAUGACUUCACGGUUCAGCUAACAAGCAAGCUAACCAAAGAUAUUACCAUUAGCUACAUACUGACUGAAAUCUGCUGUAAUGGUAUAUACUAAACAUGUUUAAAGACCUUGACUACCCAGGAGGAUCACACAUUUUUUUUUUAGAUAACUUCGUAAAAAUAGUUCAUGCACAUGUAUGUAUCUAUAAUCUUAUUCGGAAAAUACAAAUUAAUACUGAAGUAUAAUAAUUAAAGCUAAGUUCAUAUACAGUGUGUUAAAGGCCACACCAAAUCAACAUUUCAUGCUUUUAGAUUUUUGGAAGACAAAAAGAGCUUAAAUAAUAAAUGCUUAAAAAUUCUAAAUUAUAACAAUAAGAUGGCUUUAAGAUUUCAUACAACAAUGGUUGUUCAAGAGUUUAAUUUUUCAAUUUGAUUUAAAAAAUAUAUACUUGGAUAUUUUUGUUAAUUUCUUAUUUCCAAAGGUAAAAAGAAAAAGACCUUUAUUCUGCCUGCAAUAUGUAACAGAUAAACUCAUCAUAUAUACCAGGAUUUAAUUUUGUAUUUACACAAGAUGUGUGUUUCGUCUACAAAAGACUCAUCAGUGACGCUUAAUAAAAAAAAUGUUAAAAAGGCUAAAUUAAGUCGAAGUUGAAGAGCAUUGAGGACCAAAAUUCCUAAAAGUUUUUGCCAAAUACAGCUAAGGUAAUCUAUUCCUGAGGUAAAAAAGCCUUAGUAUUUCAAAUUUUCAAAUUUUUGUAAACAGUUAAUUUAUAAAUAUUACCAUAUCAAUGACAUAUAAGUUUUUAUUUGAAAGUUGAAAAUAAAUUAAGUGUAACCAUAUAUGAUAAUAUUUAUUCCCUACAGAGGUGUAAAUGUUGAUAUAAACCGCCAUUUAAACCUACCCAGCAGUUUAUGCAUGGAAAUACUAUAAUACUUCUAUGUUAAAUGCUGAUGUCAUUUUGUUAAGUUUUGAAAAUAUGGUCGAUUACAGAUUACUGUCGAUUACUUGAAAAAAUGUAAUCAAUUACAAUCGAUUACGAUUACAGAUUACGAUUACCCCAUCCCUGUUGUUAACAUUGAUUAAUUAUGUACAACAUGAAUUUUACAAGUGACAAACUUUUUUUUUUAAAAGUUGUAUAUAAGUUUUAUAGAAUACACAAAGUACACAACAUCUAACCAUCAAUAUACAUGAUAUAUGUUAUUAAGUUCAAGAAAAAAUAUAUUAUACUAAUAUUUCUAUGAUGAAAUAAAAACCUUUUUUCUUGGGGAAAUCUGAAAAAGUAACUCAAAUUUCAUUCAAUUAUACUGUUAAAGUUUGUUUACAUACAAUUUAUGAAAAUAAAUAAUGAUAUCUUAC